ACAGUGAACUCCGCAUCGACUCACGCGUUCACCUCCUUCCGGUCUAAAUGGUAAACUCCUCUGCAUUUUCUGUUCGGUUCUAUUUUGGUGGGGCCCACGCGUCAUCACAGAGUAUCUGGGAGCCCUGCCCUCUUGCAGAUGGGAAUGAAGGCCCAGGUGCUCUGGAGAGGUGACUCUCCUCUAGUUGUCUCGCUUCUCAGAAAGGAAACACUGGUUCUGUAAACCUGUUUGAGAAGAAAAGCUCGAGGUUUCUUGGCCUCUCUGCUUCUGGAGCCAGGGGAAAAAAUAGCCCCAGGCUGAAGACAGGAGGGACCAGAUUGCUGCUUGGUGAUGCGAUCUCACUGCAGAGGCAGCCAGGAGACCCUCCUGAGACGAAUCGGAGAGUCCAUGCUGCUUUUACACACAUCCUAGUUCUUUUAUAACUAGCCUUUUCCUAUUAACGGACAUCAUUCAAAAGCCAGUUUUAAGCAACAUAAAUAUUGAAAACAAUACUAUACUAUUUAGAAUUAAUUAUAAGUUUUGUUUUUAAAGCCUAAAUCUUUUAUUGUUGUUUGAACCCUGGGCACUGAAGCUAAUAAUGUAACUUUUCUCCCUUCUUUCUUCUUUGGCAUAGAUUUAAAGAACUGUUAGACUCAUUUAAAAUGCUAUUAGGCAUUUUAAAGAGUAAUUGUUAAAUGUGUUGUCUCUUGUGGGACUGGAAAUGUUCUGUUCUUAUCUGGCGCUGGUUACAUCCUGUUUUUCAUUUGGGAAAGUGCAUUGAGCUGGAAAUUUAUAUGUUCAAUUUCUGUAUGUAAAUUGUACUUCAGUAAAAAUUUUCAAAAAA
Molecule: long non-coding RNA, 823 nt
Filed under: Homo sapiens (human)
Lineage: Eukaryota; Metazoa; Chordata; Mammalia; Primates; Hominidae
Description: long independently transcribed non-coding RNA 2434, transcript variant 1 (LINC02434)
Source: RNAcentral